This 474-nucleotide ribosomal RNA is filed under the name uncultured bacterium. RNAcentral describes it as "bacterial SSU rRNA". It matches the Rfam family "Bacterial small subunit ribosomal RNA", at positions 335 to 799 of the family's 1533-position model. The record is from RNAcentral.
ACUCCUACGGGAGGCAGCAGUGGGGAAUAUUGCACAAUGGGCGCAAGCCUGAUGCAGCCAUGCCGCGUGUGUGAAGAAGGCCUUCGGGUUGUAAAGCACUUUCAGUCGUGAGGAAGGUAGUGUAGUUAAUAGCUGCAUUAUUUGACGUUAGCGACAGAAGAAGCACCGGCUAACUCCGUGCCAGCAGCCGCGGUAAUACGGAGGGUGCGAGCGUUAAUCGGAAUUACUGGGCGUAAAGCGCAUGCAGGUGGUUUGUUAAGUCAGAUGUGAAAGCCCGGGGCUCAACCUCGGAAUAGCAUUUGAAACUGGCAGACUAGAGUACUGUAGAGGGGGGUAGAAUUUCAGGUGUAGCGGUGAAAUGCGUAGAGAUACUGAAGGAAUACCGGUGGCGAAGGCGGCCCCCUGGACAGAUACUGACACUCAGAUGCGAAAGCGUGGGGAGCAAACAGGAUUAGAUACCCUGGUAGGAUAGCG